UACGGAGGGGGCUAGCGUUGUUCGGAAUCACUGGGCGUAAAGGGUGCGUAGGCGGGUCUUUAAGUCAGGGGUGAAAUCCUGGAGCUCAACUCCAGAACUGCCUUUGAUACUGAAGAUCUUGAGUUCGGGAGAGGUGAGUGGAACUGCGAGUGUAGAGGUGAAAUUCGUAGAUAUUCGCAAGAACACCAGUGGCGAAGGCGGCUCACUGGCCCGAUACUGACGCUGAGGCACAAAAGCGUGGGGAGCGAACAGG
This 253-nucleotide ribosomal RNA is filed under the name uncultured bacterium. RNAcentral describes it as "partial 16S ribosomal RNA". It matches the Rfam family "Bacterial small subunit ribosomal RNA", at positions 524 to 776 of the family's 1533-position model. The record is from RNAcentral.